This is a long non-coding RNA of Etheostoma spectabile (orangethroat darter), 639 nucleotides long. RefSeq lists it as uncharacterized. The transcript has 3 exons. The record is from RefSeq and is a predicted model, not a curated record. NCBI's taxonomy places the organism in Eukaryota, Metazoa, Chordata, Actinopteri, Perciformes, Percidae.
GUAAAACUCAUUUCAAAAGUUGCAAUUUUUUACCAAAAUAAAGUGAAUAUGUGAUUACUAACUGUUUUAGCGUAGAUGCUGGAGCUGUCAUCGAGCCUGCGGCCCCGCGAAGCGUGAAACCCGGUUUCAUCUCGGACUACUUGAUGUCGGCCAUCGACCGCCAUCUUAACCCCUGAUCUUCACCCCAGGUCCCGCCGACGUUAGCUAGCUAGCAUGUCGGUUACUGGGUGUAGGAACCGAGACGAAAAGCGGCGGGAACGUGUUGACAAAGAAGCUCUCAAAAUGGCGUCGGAUCAAACCGCUUCAGAGUCACAAGUCCUUGUCACGUGUUGUGCUGUGUUAGUGUAUUCUGUGUGUGUGUGUGUGUGUGUGUGUGUCUCUGCAGGUGUGUGUGUCUGUUUCUCUGCAGGUGUGCGCUGCUGAACACAAGAAGAGAGACGACAACAUCGUCGCUGUCCCCUGUGAGACCAGUUUUGGGACUUGAGGGAGUUUCUGCUUGGACGGGAGGAUCAGUGAGGGUACCGAGGAACUGAUGGUGAACUGGUAAUCUGUGAUGAUGCUCCAUGGCCGUGUAAAGAGGAAGGGGUUCCAGGGGUGUAUGUCUGUCUCUGCAGGUGUGUGUGUGACUCUCUGCAGGUG